AGGGGGAGAAUUUCUUAAGAUAGGAGAUAGAGGAAGAUAUUUUCAUAUGAAUAAAUAUAUUAGAAUAUUAAUAAUAUUUUUUAUUAUUGUGAUUUUUUGAUUUUUUUUUAGUUUUGAAUUUUUAUGUUUUCUCAAAUUUUGAAUUUUCACUUUUUGCUAAAUUGUUCUUGGGAUAGAACUUGGACCGAUAGAAUCAGCACUUAAGAUGCACUUGAAGAUCCAUAAAGUCACUCACUUUUGUUUUAAUUGAUUCAUAUCUCUCACUUUUAAUGUAGAGAGAUAGACUCGGGAUGGAUGAAUCUGGUCAAAAACUCUAUUUACCAAAAUGCCCAACUUAAAAGUUUUCUUCAUCAUUGGCAAAAAUGUGGUAUCAUAAAUCAUAGUGAUUAGGGGCAUAAUUGAGCUAGAGCCUAAGUGAAUGGUUACAUCGAACCUAGAUUGUACGUGGACUUGUAUGUUUCUAAGGCUCGGGCUCCUUGCUAAUAGCUCCAUUACAAGAUUGAUGAUAGUUUGAGGUUGGUAAAGGGGCUUUAUAUUAGUUUUGUGAUGACUAUGGUUGUUUUAUUCUGUUAUAAAUUUAAUUUGAACAAAUAUAAUAAUUCAUCCAUUACAUUUAUAUUCAUAUUCAGUAAACAAAAUGGUAGAGAAGCUUAAUGAUAUCAAGAAAUGAUUGGACAUUACAUAUACAAGCAUGCUUGUGUAAAACGAGUUGGACAUGGUGAGUUUAGCAAUUCUUGAGCCUAGAUCAUUUGCUAAAAUGAGCAAGCCCUAACCAUCAUGCGGAACACUAAUCAUUCACAAAUGUCUAGGUCAAUUGGAAGUAAAUUGAUUGAACAUUCAACAAACCAAUAUGAUGCCAGGACCCUCAGAUGAAAUGGAAUUGGUUUUGUUUAAGAGAGGGAAGAAAUAAAAGAAGGCUAGAGUUGGUGGCUAGCUAGUAAGUCGUGAUAAAAGAAAUAUAUUGGGUUCAUAGAAUAGAUUAUCUUAAGAGCUUGCCUGAUUUUUUCACACCUUU
This 1015-nucleotide long non-coding RNA is filed under the name Phoenix dactylifera (date palm). Its description in RNAcentral is "long non-coding RNA (PDAC_LNC016211)". The record is from RNAcentral. Lineage: Eukaryota; Viridiplantae; Streptophyta; Magnoliopsida; Arecales; Arecaceae.